This 156-nucleotide small RNA is filed under the name Brevibacillus sp. Its description in RNAcentral is "c-di-AMP sequence". It matches the Rfam family "c-di-AMP riboswitch aptamer (ydaO/yuaA leader)". From Rfam's summary of the family: This family represents a conserved RNA structure found upstream of the ydaO and yuaA genes in Bacillus subtilis and related genes in other bacteria. The ydaO/yuaA element is thought to act as a genetic "off" switch for the ydaO and yuaA genes in its native state. It is believed that the element may be triggered during osmotic shock leading to activation of ydaO, a predicted amino acid transporter gene, and members of the yuaA-yubG operon which code for KtrA and KtrB K+ transporters. The record is from RNAcentral. Lineage: Bacteria; Bacillati; Bacillota; Bacilli; Caryophanales; Paenibacillaceae.
CAAACCAAUAAGCCGAAGCUUCCUCACGAAUGGAAGUGCGGGGGAUCUUUUUGUGGGUCACGCAUCCACUAAGGGGUGAAUCGCUCGAAGGAGCGUAGGGUUGUUUCCUCAAUCCGAAUCCGACAACUAACCUCGUAGGCCAAAAAAAGGAGACGA